UUUAAAUAGCUGCAGUAUUUUAACUGUACAAAGGUAGCAUAGUAAUUAGUCUUUUAAUUGAGGUCUCGAAUGAAUGGUUUAACAAGAAAAUCACUUUAUUAUAUUAAUUAAAUUAAUUUUAUUUUUUAGUUAAAAAGCUAAAAUUAUUAAAUGGGACGAUAAGACCCUAUAGAUCUUUAAAUUUUUUUAAAUUAAUAUAUUUCAGUUGAAUUAAUUUUUAUUUAAUAGAAAUUUUUUGUUGGGGUGACAUACAAAUAUUUUAAGCUUUGUAAUAUACUUACAUAAAUUAAUGAUUUAUUUGAACCUAAAGUAAGGGUUAUUAAAAUAAGAUACCUUAGGGAUAACAGCGUAAUAAACUUGUAUAGUUCAGAUAGAUAAGUUUGUUUACGACCUCGAUGUUGAAUUAAUUUAAAAUUCUGGGGCAGAAAAUAGGAAAUUUAGGUCUGUUCGACCUUUAAAAAAUUACG
RNAcentral lists this ribosomal RNA (467 nucleotides) under Sardia rostrata. RNAcentral's name for it is "partial 16S ribosomal RNA". It matches the Rfam family "Bacterial large subunit ribosomal RNA", at positions 1922 to 2600 of the family's 2925-position model. The record is from RNAcentral. Lineage: Eukaryota; Metazoa; Arthropoda; Insecta; Hemiptera; Delphacidae.